UACGAAGGGGGCUAGCGUUGUUCGGAAUGACUGGGCGUAAAGGGCGCGUAGGCGGCUUGCACAGUCAGGCGUGAAAUUCCUGGGCUCAACCUGGGGACUGCGCUUGAGACGUGUGGGCUUGAGUGGGGAAGAGGGUCGUGGAAUUCCCAGUGUAGAGGUGAAAUUCGUAGAUAUUGGGAAGAACACCGGUGGCGAAGGCGGCGACCUGGUCCUUGACUGACACUGAGGAGCGAAAGCCAGGGGAGCAAACGGG
RNAcentral lists this ribosomal RNA (253 nucleotides) under uncultured bacterium. RNAcentral's name for it is "partial 16S ribosomal RNA". It matches the Rfam family "Bacterial small subunit ribosomal RNA", at positions 524 to 776 of the family's 1533-position model. The record is from RNAcentral.